GACGAACGCUGGCGGCGUGCUUAACACAUGCAAGUCGAACGGAGAGGCCCUGCUUUUGUGGGGUGCUCGAGUGGCGAACGGGUGAGUAACACGUGAGUAACCUGCCCUUGACUUUGGGAUAACUUCAGGAAACUGGGGCUAAUACCGGAUAGGAGCUCCUGCUGCAUGGUGGGGUUGGAAAGUUUCGGCGGUUGGGGAUGGACUCGCGGCUUAUCAGCUUGUUGGUGGGGUAGUGGCUUACCAAGGCUUUGACGGGUAGCCGGCCUGAGAGGGUGGCCGGCCACAUUGGGACUGAGAUACGGCCCAGACUCCUACGGGAGGCAGCAGUGGGGAAUAUUGCACAAUGGGCGGAAGCCUGAUGCAGCAACGCCGCGUGCGGGAUGACGGCCUUCGGGUUGUAAACCGCUUUCGCCUGUGACGAAGCGUGAGUGACGGUAAUGGGUAAAGAAGCACCGGCUAACUACGUG
This 467-nucleotide ribosomal RNA is filed under the name uncultured bacterium. RNAcentral's name for it is "partial 16S ribosomal RNA". It matches the Rfam family "Bacterial small subunit ribosomal RNA", at positions 28 to 507 of the family's 1533-position model. The record is from RNAcentral.